GAUGAACGCUGGCGGCGUGCUUAACACAUGCAAGUCGAACGGAGUUUAUACGGAAGGAGUCUUCGGACACCGGAAGUAUAAACUUAGUGGCGGACGGGUGAGUAACGCGUGGGUAACCUGCCUUAUACAAGGGGAUAACAGAGGGAAACUUCUGCUAAUACCGUAUAAAAAUAUUUCACGCAUGUGAGAUAUUUGAAAGAUUUAUCGGUAUGAGAUGGACCCGCGUCUGAUUAGGUAGUUGGUGAGGUAGAGGCUCACCAAGCCGACGAUCGGUAGCCGAUCUGAGAGGAUGACCGGCCACAUUGGGACUGAGACACGGCCCAAACUCCUACGGGAGGCAGCAGUGGGGAAUAUUGGACAAUGGGGGCAACCCUGAUCCAGCGACGCCGCGUGAGUGAAGAAGUAUUUCGGUAUGUAAAGCUCUAUCGAUAACGGAAGAAGAUGACAAGCCGCUAAGGAAGAAGCCCCGGCUAACUACGUGCCAGCAGCCGCGGUAAUACGUAGGGGGCAAGCGUUAUCCGGAUUUACUGGGUGUAAAGGGAGCGUAGACGGCAAAUAAAGUCUGAAGUGAAAUCCCGCAGCUCAACUGCGGAGUUGCUUUGGAAACUUAUAAGCUGGAGUGUCGGAGGGGUAAGCGGAAUUCCCAGUGUAGCGGUGAAAUGCGUAGAUAUUGGGAGGAACACCGGGGGCGAAGGCGGCUUACUGGAAGAUAACUGACGUUGAGGCUCGAAGGCGUGGGUAGCAAACAGG
Molecule: ribosomal RNA, 750 nt
Filed under: uncultured Lachnospiraceae bacterium
Lineage: Bacteria; Bacillati; Bacillota; Clostridia; Lachnospirales; Lachnospiraceae
Description: bacterial SSU rRNA
Rfam family: Bacterial small subunit ribosomal RNA
Source: RNAcentral